RNAcentral lists this long non-coding RNA (263 nucleotides) under Capsicum annuum. Its description in RNAcentral is "long non-coding RNA (CANN_LNC019886)". The record is from RNAcentral. Lineage: Eukaryota; Viridiplantae; Streptophyta; Magnoliopsida; Solanales; Solanaceae.
GGGGCUUUAAAUAGCCAACAUAAAACAAAAAUAUGCAUAAUUUGAAAUCUAAAACAACCUAAAUUAUCUCAUAACUAAACAAACUAACAAAUAUUUAAAAUUCUAGUGUAGUAACUUAAAGCAAUUUCCAACAGAUCCUCGUAUAGCCUAUGGACAAUUUUCUUAUUCUGUGGCGCUUGGUUUUGGGGGGCUACUUGGAAAUAUAGAAAAAUGAAGAUGGAAGCCAAGCUGAAGAAUUGCAUUUUGGGAGAGUUAGAAAUGUG